RNAcentral lists this transfer RNA (77 nucleotides) under Bacillota bacterium. RNAcentral describes it as "tRNA-Pro". It matches the Rfam family "tRNA". From Rfam's summary of the family: Transfer RNA (tRNA) molecules are approximately 80 nucleotides in length. The record is from RNAcentral. RNAcentral also lists the same sequence under 2 other names. Lineage: Bacteria; Bacillati; Bacillota.
CGGGUUGUGGCGCAGCUAGGUAGCGCGCACGUCUGGGGGGCGUGAGGUCCCGGGUUCAAAUCCCGGCAACCCGACCA